GCUCACGUUAUUAUGUACAGAUUCAUUCUAUCAAUGUUACGUACUUACAAAUACAACAUUCACAGGUUCCCUUCAAUGCUGCGUCAGCAGUUGCUAUGGGAACAUCAAUAAAGCAGAGAGACCCAGUCUGUCAUACACAGAUAUCUUCCAAAGAUAGUUCCUUGGCCAGAGUUUGUAAAGAAGCAACACUCCUAGUAGAGUGCGCAUGUACACUUAAUGAAGCAAAACCUUUGCUACGGCUACUGAAGCAGACAAACAACUGGUCAGAUUUAUGCCAUUGGCUUGUACAGUCAAUGUAAAUCUUCAAAGCUCAAAACCUCAAAGACAAAGUCUAUGCAACCUCUCUUUCUCCUGCAACUCAUAGGUAGUGGGAGUGAAAGAUUGUAAAACAACAGCCUGCCAGCAUAGCGAAAAAAGAAAACACCUUGGGAGUGUUAGCAGGUUUUGACCAUUAUCUAGACUGGGAGCUAAAUCCUAACAUAAAGGGCUUACUGACAAAGCUUACAAGAGAACCAUCUUGAGAGUCAAAACCUCAUCCAAGGUUGAUUCUACAGGCUCAAAAGGAGGUCCUGUCAAAGCCUCCAGAUAUUCCAGAUUCCAAAUAUCAAAGCAUCUAGCAGGAUGGUUUUAUCCUUAGCCAGAGAUAGCAUUCGGUCACUACCAAACCCACCAUAGAAAGACCAGUGGCGUGAACUGUGUGCUUAGUAUUACAAAACGAAUCAAAGCAGACAUAGUCCUACAGGGUUUGAAUGGUAUAUUAGGCCUCAGUUUCCAUUAGAGGACUGACAGUGGUGAGAGAUAAGCCACUAAUGUCUCUUCCGUUGCCAACACCUCUGAAAACCCCUGCUCAGCCAUCUUAGAAGUGAAAACAGAGGCAGUCAUAAUAGUAAUCCGUGCAGAGAAAGCCUGGUUCCAGGACCUUGAAAUCUCACAGUGGAGAUCCUAUAAUUGUGGCAGCAGCCUGCAGAGCAAAUGGGCACUACGGCCUGCUAAAAAUCCGCUCAUCCAACUUGGAUUGAGCCCCUGGUGGGACGAACUCAUCCCAAUCCAGUUUAAGCCUGUCUACAACAUGAGAAAUUACAUCCAAAAGUUCAGUAUAAGCUAGAGAAGGGCAAAGGUCAGCCUGAACUCCUCAAAGUCAGAUGUAGCAGUGGAUCGCUUUAUGAGCUUCAGAACUUGGACACAAAUCCUCACAUGUAAACUCCACUGAGACAUAUUAAGUACACAAUCAGGAGGAAGAAAGAGCGAGAAAUCACAAGGCUAUCUGCCAAUAAAUUGGUGUGAUUGUAUAUGGGCUUCAGCCAAUCAUCACAUCAGCUGCUGACUUAGGGGUGAAGUGAACCUAUGAAAGGUGAAACAAAAACAUUUGUGACAUCAUUUGAUAUUAUGAAAACUAACUUCCCCAUAACUAUGUAUGUAGUAUUCAUUAUUGGUGUUGAUAGUUGGUGAUAUUGCAACUUUUUCUAACAUUUUGUACAAACAAUCUUACAACAUUUAUAGAGCUGAAUUUUUGUUGCUUGUGUGUGUGUGUGUUUUUUUUUUUUUUAUUAAGCCAACCAGCAACCAGGACUGGAAUCACAGAACUUCACCAACUCAAGGUCUGGGUCAUAAUUCAAAGGAGACAACACUGUUUGCUCUGAAACCAGAUAAUUGUUUGAGAAUUCUGUAUCUGUGUUCUAACCGAACAGCAUGGCCAAAGAUAUUAACAGCCAACUUUGAGCAUGACAGCUCCAUACAACUUCUUCCUCCUGGCCUACAGAACACAGGACAUUGAAGGCGGCAGAGAGCGAUGACUCCAGUCACACAAUAUCAACAAACUAAACAGGUCACUCGGUGUAACUUGGUAAUGCCUACGGUAAAUCUUGCAAUCUGUGUGUGCGUUACUCUGAAAACAAGUUGAUGUGUUCUCAUUAGAACAGCACAGCGAAUGACUUGCAGAGAAGUGUGAUUCCGUGUUUCUCUUGACGCUUGAGAAAUAUUUUUCACUCCCCUCUCAGGAAUGGAAGAAAUAGCAAUGUUAGGAAACUUAGAAAAACUUCAUAGGUUUUUCCUUAAAAGAAAAAGAAAAAAAAAAAAAGGAAAAUCAUGAACAUGGUAACUAUAACACACAUCUCUAUGCUAAGUCCUUUAACUCAACAUUCCAGAAUGAAAAAAGAAAAGAAAAAAAAUCCUGUUUGUUUGUUUUUUGUCUUUUUUCUUCUUUCUCUUGCUAUGUGCUAUUAAAGUGUAAAGUGGACUAGGAAUGCAUGUAAUCCAAGACCUUACACUGUUCACGAUAUCAAUGAGAGAUUGACAAUGAGGAUUUGUGCAUUAAUACUCGAGCAGAGAGAAUAUGAAGAAGAGGACGAAAGAAAUUCUAGAACAAGCCCAAACAUAAGACUCAGAUCAUCACAUAAGAAAUCACUUGGAAAACAAUGUCAGGUUCUGACCAAUCAGGUCUUUUUUAUUCAUUGUCCUUUCCAAAGUUUCAAGAAAUUGUCCUCAGGCUGCAGAUGGGGUGUUUUAACAACCAUUGUACGGUAUUGGCGAGUUGGAAUCUUGUGCAUUAUCUUUUUAUUUUGUUGUUCUAUUGUCGCCUUGCUAUGUUUGUAGAGCGUUUAACAUAUUUUUCUAUUCACAAUAUCUAUUUUUUUUCCACAUUGUUUGUAUAUAGAAAAAAUUAUAAACUGAAGUUUAUUUAUAUUUUUUAAUUCAAGUGUUUUUUUUUUAUUUUUUUGAAUUAUUGUAUUGAGUUCUGUUGUUUGUUUAUUACUAUUUUAAAUCCAUUGUUACUCUGUCACUUGUUUACAACCUUUUCUUUCUUUCUUUCUUUCUUUCUUUUUUUUUAAAUAUGUAUAUUUUGGUUGAACUUAUGUGUGAUGGUUUAAAAAUAGAUCAAAAGCAAUAGUGGAUGGUCGUCAGUCAGUAAAGAGCACAAUUGUUAGAUGUUUUUACAGUAGUGGUCAGAAGAGUGAUAUCUGUCUGUAAACCUGUAAUAUAUCUGUAAGGUUCAGGAUCACUGUCUAUUAGGUCAUUAAAAAGUGAUGCCCAGUCUCUUAUUAAUAACACAUUAGGUGUCAAAGCCAUGAUUUGUUUUAAAAGAUUUUUUUAUUAAAUAAUUAUAAUAAUUAAGAAAAACACAAAGCUAGUGGGAGAAAUAAGGGAUCUGCUUAGUGGAAUGUUGGAACUUUUAAGCGAGUAGAGAUUGCAUGUUCUGAAAAAAAAAAAAAUCUUGAUAUUGCUAUAUGUUCUAAUGGUAUGUGUGAAUGAUUUUGGAUGUGUGUAUGUAUGCAUCUACAUUUGUUAUCAUUCAAAAAAAAAAAAAAAAAAAAAAAUCUGAUCAACAACAGGAAAAGAAAUGUUUGGUCAGAGGACUUUAAUUUCAGACCUUCUAUGCAAUGAUUUUCUCAGCUGAGAAAAAUGGUUGUCAGAGUAUUGAAACAAAAUAAAACAACUAAAUCCAAGAAUAACUAGAUAGUAGUUUCAAAAAAGUUACUUGGGGGCCGAUUUGUUUGUAUAAGAGAAACUGUAAUGUAAAUACUCUAUCUGAAUGGAAUUUUUUUCCCCAUAUUUGUGGCAUGUUUCCCAUUUUGUGGCACUGUUUCAAAAUGGAGCCAAUUAGCCAUAGCGAUUAACAUAAACGUCAAUCAUUUCUCACUAUCCAUGGAUGGUUGCUGCUAGAUGAACGGCAUAUGAUGGGGGUCACCAUCCUUCAUGAUGCUUAGUUGCCUAUUGGUGCAAAACUUAUUAAUAGAAAAAUUACUAAAAUAAAGCAUAUGACAAAUAAAUGACAAAAAUAAAGCAGACAUCAUGAAAAAAAAAAAAAAAA
This is a long non-coding RNA of Labeo rohita (rohu), 3808 nucleotides long. RefSeq lists it as uncharacterized. The record is from RefSeq and is a predicted model, not a curated record. NCBI's taxonomy places the organism in Eukaryota, Metazoa, Chordata, Actinopteri, Cypriniformes, Cyprinidae. The transcript is spliced from 2 exons.